RNAcentral lists this ribosomal RNA (511 nucleotides) under Typhlatya pearsei. RNAcentral's name for it is "partial large subunit ribosomal RNA". It matches the Rfam family "Bacterial large subunit ribosomal RNA", at positions 1825 to 2597 of the family's 2925-position model. Lineage: Eukaryota; Metazoa; Arthropoda; Malacostraca; Decapoda; Atyidae. The record is from RNAcentral.
GUCUAUUUGAAUUCAUUUUUUAGUCUGGCCUGCCCACUGAUUUAUUAAAGGGCCGCGGUAUUUGGACCGUGCUAAGGUAGCAUAAUCAAUAGUCUCUUAAUUGGAGUCUGGAAUGAAUGGUCGGAUGAAAUAUAAUUUGUCUGCGAAUAUAGUAUUGAAUUUUACUUUUAAGUGAAAAGGCUUAAAUAAAUUAAAGGGACGAUAAGACCCUGUGAAGCUUUAUUUUUAUUAUGUUUUAAUAUUUGAUAGUUGUGUGAUUAAAUUUGAGUUUAGUAAAAAUUAAAUUGGGGCGAUUGGAAUAUAUUAUUAACUGUUUUUAAUAGUAAAAUAAAUAAUUUUUAGGUGUUGAUCUUGUAUUACGGAUUAUAAGAUUUAAGUUACUCCAGGGAUAACAGCGUAAUUCUUUUUGAGAGUUCUUAUCGACAGAAGUAUUUGCGACCUCGAUGUUGAAUUAAGAUUUCAUUAAGGUGUAGUAGUCUUGAUUGUAGGUCUGUUCGACCUUUAAAAUUUU